GACGGAGGGUGCUAGCGUUGUUCGGAAUUACUGGGCGUAAAGGGCGCGUAGGCGGCCUUGUCAGUCGGGUGUGAAAGCCCGGGGCUCAACCCCGGAACGGCACCCGAGACGGCAGGGCUGGAGACCGGGAGAGGAGGGUGGAAUAGCCAGUGUAGAGGUGAAAUUCGUAGAUAUUGGCUGGAACACCGGUGGCGAAAGCGGCUCUCUGGCCCGGUUCUGACGCUGAGGCGCGAAAGCGUGGGGAGCAAACAGG
Molecule: ribosomal RNA, 253 nt
Filed under: uncultured bacterium
Lineage: Bacteria
Description: partial 16S ribosomal RNA
Rfam family: Bacterial small subunit ribosomal RNA
Source: RNAcentral